GAUGAAGAACGUAGCGAAAUGCGAUAAGUGAUGUGAAUUGCAGAAUUCAGUGAAUCAUCGAAUCUUUGAACGCACAUUGCGCCCCUUGGUAUUCCGAGGGGCAUGCCUGUUCGAGCGUCAUUAUCACCCUUCAAGCUCUGCUUGGUGUUGGGGCCUGCUGUUAGGCAGCCCUUAAAAUUAGUGGCAGUGACCAUUAGGCUCUAAGCGUAGUAAUUCUUCUCGCUAUAGCGUCUAGUGGUUCCGCGCCAAAACCCCCAAUUUUUUAUGAUUGACCUCGGAUCAGGUAGGGAUACCCGCUGAACUUAAGCAUAUCAAUAAGCGGAGGA
RNAcentral lists this unclassified non-coding RNA (326 nucleotides) under soil metagenome. RNAcentral describes it as "partial contains 5.8S ribosomal RNA, internal transcribed spacer 2, and large subunit ribosomal RNA". The stretch from base 1 to 120 matches the Rfam family "5.8S ribosomal RNA", at positions 35 to 154 of the family's 154-position model. The record is from RNAcentral.